Molecule: ribosomal RNA, 553 nt
Filed under: uncultured archaeon
Lineage: Archaea
Description: bacterial SSU rRNA
Rfam family: Archaeal small subunit ribosomal RNA
Source: RNAcentral
CGGGGUGCACCAGGCGCGAAAACUUUACAAUGCGGGAAGCCGUGAUAAGGGGACACCGAGUGCCAGCAUCAUAUGCUGGCUGUCCAGGUGUGUAAAAUACACCUGUUAGCAAGGGCCGGGCAAGACCGGUGCCAGCCGCCGCGGUAACACCGGCGGCCCGAGUGGUGAUCGUGAUUAUUGGGUCUAAAGGGUCCGUAGCCGGUUUGGUCAGUCCUCCGGGAAAUCUGACGGCUCAACCGUUAGGCUUUCGGGGGAUACUGCCAGGCUUGGAACCGGGAGAGGUAAGAGGUACUACAGGGGUAGGAGUGAAAUCUUGUAAUCCCUGUGAGACCACCUGUGGCGAAGGCGUCUUACCAGAACGGGUUCGACGGUGAGGGACGAAAGCUGGGGGCACGAACCGGAUUAGAUACCCGGGUAGUCCCAGCCGUAAACGAUGCUCGCUAGGUGUCAGGCAUGGCGCGACCGUGUCUGGUGCCGCAGGGAAGCCGUGAAGCGAGCCACCUGGGAAGUACGGCCGCAAGGCUGAAACUUAAAGGAAUUGGCGGGGGAGCAC